This 350-nucleotide long non-coding RNA is filed under the name Nicotiana tabacum (common tobacco). RNAcentral's name for it is "long non-coding RNA (NTAB_LNC012526)". The record is from RNAcentral. Lineage: Eukaryota; Viridiplantae; Streptophyta; Magnoliopsida; Solanales; Solanaceae.
CUGAGGAGCAUAAAUAAAUAAAAAUACAAUCGUAUUAAUAUCAGAUUAAUAUAUCAAUAUUUCUUCUGGAAUAUUCUCAGCCCACUAUAUACCAGCUAAAUCCUAGGAGCAUUCAGGUUAUAUAUUGGACCCUACAAAUAUAAACUCGAUACAUAACAGGUCGCUCACAGAGUCACAGAGAACCAAACCUGUACUACUUCCUAAGCCAGAUUCACUGCAUAAGGUUUGAUAAAUUUGAAUGAACACAAAAACUAGUACAGAAAGCUAUUUAAGGUUUGAUAAAUUUGAAUGAACACAAAAACUAGUACAGAAAGCUAUUUGCCAAUGAACAUAGAAUGAGUGACUUACCC